Molecule: small RNA, 45 nt
Filed under: Sinorhizobium meliloti 2011
Lineage: Bacteria; Pseudomonadati; Pseudomonadota; Alphaproteobacteria; Hyphomicrobiales; Rhizobiaceae
Description: putative ncRNA
Source: RNAcentral
AUCUUCAAGCGGGUACCGAGAUCCGAACUGCCUUUCAGGUAACUU